Molecule: ribosomal RNA, 330 nt
Filed under: uncultured bacterium
Lineage: Bacteria
Description: bacterial SSU rRNA
Rfam family: Bacterial small subunit ribosomal RNA
Source: RNAcentral
CGCGUAGGCGGUCUGUCCAGUUAGGCGUGAAAGGCCUGGGCUUAACCCAGGAAUGGCGCUUAAUACUGACGGGCUUGAGAUUGGAAGAGGAGAGUGGAAUUCCCAGUGUAGAGGUGAAAUUCGUAGAUAUUGGGAAGAACACCGGUGGCGAAGGCGGCUCUCUGGUCCACAUCUGACGCUGAGGCGCGAAAGCGUGGGAGCAAACAGGAUUAGAUACCCUGGUAGUCCACGCCGUAAACGAUGAGUGCUAGACGUUGGGGGGCUUGGCUCCUCGGUGUCGCAGCUAACGCGUUAAGCACUCCGCCUGGGGAGUACGGUCGCAAGAUUAAA